UGGGGAAUAUUGCACAAUGGGGGAAACCCGUGAUGCAGCGACGCCGCGUGAGUGAAGAAGUAUUUCGGUAUGUAAAGCUCUAUCAGCAGGGAAGAAGAAAGACGGUACCUGACUAAGAAGCCCCGGCUAACUACGUGCC
This 139-nucleotide ribosomal RNA is filed under the name uncultured bacterium. RNAcentral describes it as "partial 16S ribosomal RNA". It matches the Rfam family "Bacterial small subunit ribosomal RNA", at positions 355 to 509 of the family's 1533-position model. The record is from RNAcentral.